CAGGAUACAAAAGGAAGAUUCUAUGAAACAGAGCAGUUUAAUACUGUUCAUAUCUUCCCUCUUUCCAUUUACAAGCCCUCGGAUUUGACUAAUACCUUCAAGACGGCAAAUCAGAGAUGGGCUGCUGCUAAAACAAAAACGAAAGAGCUGGAAUCUCACGUCAUCGGCAAAACCAAAGACUUUUUAGAAGCGUUGACCAAGCCUUCUUUGCCUUCUUCUUCAAGUCAAGCUCAAAAGGUUAAAGAUUUUGCAGAAAAAAUCACAAUAGUAAAUCUGGGUUGAGCAUGUUAGUCUCUGUUUUGCUCUGUUCUUUUUUUCUUUUUCAAAGAGAACAAGAAAUGUGGUUGAAGAAUCGAAGAAACUGAAAGCAAUCUAAUAAAUGAAGGUUUCCUUUAAAAGUUAAAAA
Molecule: long non-coding RNA, 406 nt
Organism: Cucumis sativus (cucumber)
Lineage: Eukaryota; Viridiplantae; Streptophyta; Magnoliopsida; Cucurbitales; Cucurbitaceae
Exons: 2
Source: RefSeq, a predicted model, not a curated record